GUCCGAGGCCACACCACCCUGAACGUGCUGAUCUCAUCUGAUCUUGGGAGCUAAGCAGGAUCGGGCCUGGUUAGUACUUGAAAGAAAGAAAAACACAACCUACUAUAAUGCCUCUUGCA
RNAcentral lists this ribosomal RNA (119 nucleotides) under Carlito syrichta (Philippine tarsier). The record is from RNAcentral. Lineage: Eukaryota; Metazoa; Chordata; Mammalia; Primates; Tarsiidae.